This 471-nucleotide ribosomal RNA is filed under the name uncultured bacterium. Its description in RNAcentral is "bacterial SSU rRNA". It matches the Rfam family "Bacterial small subunit ribosomal RNA", at positions 28 to 507 of the family's 1533-position model. The record is from RNAcentral.
GACGAACGCUUGCGGCGUGCCUCAAACAUGCAAGUCGAGCGAGGCUAUGAAUUACCGCAAGGUAAGGCAUAGCCUAGCGGCGAACGGGUGAGUAACACGUGGGUAACCUACCUGGAAGACAGGGAUAACGAUUCGAAAGGGUCGCUAAUACCUGAUAAUAUCCAUCUGCCGGAUGGCGGAGGGAAGAAAGGGGAAACCCGCUUUCAGAUGGGCCCGCGUCCCAUCAGCUAGUUGGUGAGGUGAAGGCUCACCAAGGCGACGACGGGUAGCCGGCCUGAGAGGGUGACCGGCCACACUGGGACUGAGACACGGCCCAGACUCCUACGGGGGCAGCAGUGGGGAAUCUUGCACAAUGGGCGAAAGCCUGAUGCAGCGACGCCGCGUGAGCGAAGAAGGCCUUCGGGUGUAAACCUCUGUCCUUGGUGAAGAACAAAUGACGUAGCCGAGGAGGAAGCCACGGCUAACUACGUG